GUUAAAUGGAUUGAAAACUAUAUCAGUUGGAGCCAUUAGAGAAGUACUUAAGAAAGUAGUCUGGAAAUCUUGAUGAUCAUUUAAGAUUGGUGAAUUAUCUCCAUCUGAAAACGAUGCCGAUUAGUCGUGACUCGUGUCCUUAGACGAUACUUGGAGCUUGUGUAUAUUUUUCUACUUUGGAAAUGCAUUUUGCACAUAUUUGACAGCCUACAGAGAAGUAGUAAUUUGGAGUAACUUUCUUCCAUUGUAUCAUGUUUCUUGAUCAUCACUUGGUAUGUGGUUCUCUGAGAAGUUCAUGAAAGUAGAGUUGCUAAAUCUUGCAAUUGAUUUUUGUCAGUGAGUGCUUCUUAUGUCCUUAGAGGAUAGUUAGAGUUUGUGUAUAUUUUUCUACUUUGGAAAUGCAUUUUGCAUAGAUUUGACAGCCUACAGAGAAGUGAUCUGGAGUAACUUUCUUCCAAUGUAUCAUGUUUCUUGAUCAUACUUGGUUUGUGGUCCUCUGAGAAGUUCAUGAAAGUAAAGUUGCUGAAUCUUGCAAUUAUUCUCUUCCCCACUUCUCCCUUUGAAAGGUCACAUCAGAAAUAAAGGAUGGCAAAAUACAUACUUUACCUAUCGAUUUUGUCCCUAAAUUCCUUACACACUUGUUAAAGACGGGAAUAAUAUUAGUAUUACACACCAAAACUUUUAAUGGUGUGUCAAUUACACACCACUUCGGUGUUUCACCACAUGUUCUUAAAGAUUAUUAUUACACGCGUCAAUCAGCUUUUGACAUGUGUCAUAAACCGUUUAAAAAAAGAAAAAACUGAAGAAAAAAAACCUCUGCCCCCAUUCUCUUCCCCACUUCUCCGUUUGAAAGGUCACAUCAGAAAUAUAAAAGGAUGGUAAAAUACAUAUUUUACCUAUCCAUCUUGUCCCUAAAUCCCUCUUACACACUUGUUAAAGAUGAGAAUAAUAUUAUAUACCAAAACUUUUAAAGGUGUCAAUUACACACCAUUUUGGUGUUUGACCACAUCUGCU
RNAcentral lists this long non-coding RNA (1014 nucleotides) under Nicotiana benthamiana. RNAcentral's name for it is "long non-coding RNA (NBEN_LNC038704)". The record is from RNAcentral. Lineage: Eukaryota; Viridiplantae; Streptophyta; Magnoliopsida; Solanales; Solanaceae.